RNAcentral lists this ribosomal RNA (258 nucleotides) under uncultured prokaryote. RNAcentral's name for it is "partial 16S ribosomal RNA". It matches the Rfam family "Bacterial small subunit ribosomal RNA", at positions 524 to 780 of the family's 1533-position model. The record is from RNAcentral.
UACGUAGGGUGCGAGCGUUGUCCGGAAUUACUGGGCGUAAAGAGCUCGUAGGUGGUUUGUCACGUCGUCUGUGAAAUUCCGGGGCUUAACCUCGGGCGUGCAGGCGAUACGGGCAAUACUUGAGUGCUGCAGGGGAGACUGGAAUUCCUGGUGUAGCGGUGAAAUGCGCAGAUAUCAGGAGGAACACCAAUGGCGAAGGCAGGUCUCUGGGCAGUUACUGACGCUGAGGAGCGAAAGCAUGGGUAGCGAACAGGAUUA